Molecule: long non-coding RNA, 834 nt
Filed under: Homo sapiens (human)
Lineage: Eukaryota; Metazoa; Chordata; Mammalia; Primates; Hominidae
Description: HSALNT0292102
Source: RNAcentral
UGGAGCCAGUCUUCCCAAGGUGAAAUCCUAACUUUGCCACUUACUAGCCAUGUGAACUUGGGCAAGUGACCUAAUCCUCUGCAUUUCAUCUCUAAAUUGGGGAGAAUAGAAGCAUCUACUUCAUGUAGUAGCCAGGAUUAGAAGAGAUGGGGCCACUUGAGGGAAAAGACCUACCCAAGGGCACAUAAUCUGUACAUGAGAGAGAGCCAGAUGUAACAGACUGAGUACUGGACUUGGGGUUAAACAGACUGUGAAUCUUUCCACCCCAUUGGGAGGAAUAACUGGGCCCUGGAUAGAAUGUGAUGAAUGUAUAUUCUUAAUGAGAAGUGGAAAUAAUUUGUGGUUGAGAGCUGUGCCUCAGAUCAGAGUGACAGGAUACAUGGCUAGGCUAUAUUUUCCAGCAGAUUAAGAGCUGCGGCCCAAGACUCUGAAAUAUGAAGAAAAAAGGAGAAGAUGACAGCAUAUCUUUUUAAAGAAAUAUUUUCCAGCCAAAUGGUGUAGCAGAGGACUUCCAGGAAUUUGUUCUUGUUCUGUAUCAAAGGUGAAGAGUUCGUAGCCUUCAAGGAAACAAGAAACCAUGGGAUGGAGUGAAGGAAGGUGGCCUGGAACCAGCUGCUGAGCCUCUCUGAGCCCCAGUUUCCUCGUCUCUAAAAUGGGGCUGAUCUCCUCUCCCUCAGACUGUUGUUGCAGGAAUUAAAACAGGUGUUGAGUGGGAAAGCAUCAGUCCCAUAGCAAAUGGCCCCUGAGUAGUAGGAUCUGAGUUCUGGUUCUGGUCCUGCUGGGGUAUGGCUGGUUGAGAGGUCAAAGAGGUAAUUAAAGGGAUUGCCAGCUUCA